CUCCGGCUCGUUCUUUGGCUAAACGACGAGCGCGCGCUCUCGCGUCCACCUACUGAUUGGACAAGACGGCAAUCAAUCAAAUGUUUUCCAACAAAAAGAGAAAAAAUUCUAAAAGAUGCCCUACACUGCCUAAAACCCAACUUAGAGCAGAAUGGCGUGCCAGGGUUUGCUGGUUUUGUGACUCUGGUUGGCUAAUUUGCCUAAAGACCUGACAGGUAUUAUCUGGCGACAACCUGCGUGACAAACUAACCAGCUUGAACUGGAUUGCAAAUGUACAAAUCCUCUUAAUACAUCCAAUUAAACAAAAAACAGCUAGAGCAACUCUUACAAGGCAGAA
Molecule: long non-coding RNA, 337 nt
Organism: Silurus meridionalis
Lineage: Eukaryota; Metazoa; Chordata; Actinopteri; Siluriformes; Siluridae
Exons: 2
Source: RefSeq, a predicted model, not a curated record